AGUGAACGCUGGCGGUAGGCCUAACACAUGCAAGUCGAACGGCAGCACAGUAAGAGCUUGCUCUUACGGGUGGCGAGUGGCGGACGGGUGAGGAAUACAUCGGAAUCUACUUUUUCGUGGGGGAUAACGUAGGGAAACUUACGCUAAUACCGCAUACGACCUACGGGUGAAAGCAGGGGAUCUUCGGACCUUGCGCGAUUGAAUGAGCCGAUGUCGGAUCAGCUAGUUGGCGGGGUAAAGGCCCACCAUGGCGACGAUCCGUAGCUGGUCUGAGAGGAUGAUCAGCCACACUGGAACUGAGACACGGUCCAGACUCCUACGGGAGGCAGCAGUGGGGAAUAUUGGACAAUGGGCGCAAGCCUGAUCCAGCCAUACCGCGUGGGUGAAGAAGGCCUUCGGGUUGUAAAGCCCUUUUGUUGGGAAAGAAAAGCAGCAGGUUAAUACCCCGCUGUUCUGACGGUACCCAAAGAAUAAGCACCGGCUAACUUCGUG
RNAcentral lists this ribosomal RNA (492 nucleotides) under uncultured bacterium. RNAcentral's name for it is "partial 16S ribosomal RNA". It matches the Rfam family "Bacterial small subunit ribosomal RNA", at positions 29 to 507 of the family's 1533-position model. The record is from RNAcentral.